GACGAACGCUGGCGGCGUGCCUAAUACAUGCAAGUCGAGCGAAGUUUUUCUGGUGCUUGCACCGGAAAAACUUAGCGGCGAACGGGUGAGUAACACGUAAAGAACCUGCCUCAUAGACUGGGACAACUAUUGGAAACGAUAGCUAAUACCGGAUAACAGCAUUAACUGCAUGGUUGAUGUUUGAAAGUUGGUUUUGCUAACACUAUGAGAUGGCUUUGCGGUGCAUUAGCUAGUUGGUGGGGUAAAGGCCUACCAAGGCGACGAUGCAUAGCCGACCUGAGAGGGUGAUCGGCCACACUGGGACUGAGACACGGCCCAGACUCCUACGGGAGGCAGCAGUAGGGAAUCUUCCGCAAUGGGCGAAAGCCUGACGGAGCAACGCCGCGUGAGUGAAGAAGGAUUUCGGUUCGUAAAGCUCUGUUGUUAGGGAAGAAUGAUUGUGUAGUAACUAUACACAGUAGAGACGGU
This 468-nucleotide ribosomal RNA is filed under the name Gemella haemolysans. Its description in RNAcentral is "bacterial SSU rRNA". It matches the Rfam family "Bacterial small subunit ribosomal RNA", at positions 28 to 476 of the family's 1533-position model. Lineage: Bacteria; Bacillati; Bacillota; Bacilli; Caryophanales; Gemellaceae. The record is from RNAcentral.